This 497-nucleotide ribosomal RNA is filed under the name uncultured bacterium. Its description in RNAcentral is "partial 16S ribosomal RNA". It matches the Rfam family "Bacterial small subunit ribosomal RNA", at positions 28 to 507 of the family's 1533-position model. The record is from RNAcentral.
GAUGAACGCUGGCGGCAUGCCUAAUGCAUGCAAGUCGAGCGCACAGAUGAAGAGCUUGCUACUCUGACGUUAGCGGCGGACGGGUGAGUACCACGUGGAUCACCUACCUCUACUACUAGGAUAACUUCCUGACAACCGAGCUAAUACCGGAUAAUAUAUUCAACCGCAUGGUUCCAUCUUAAAAGCCGGUUUUUCUGUCGCGUAUAGAUGGAUCCUCGCCGCAUUAGCUAGUUGGUAAGGUAACGGCUUACCAAGGCAACGAUGCGUAGCCGACCUGAGAGGGUGAUCGGCCACAAUGGAACUGAGACAAGGUCAAGACUCCGAAGGGAGGCAGCAGUAGGGAAUCUCCCGCAAUGGGCGAAAGCCUGACGGAGCAACGCAGCGCGGGUGAUGAAGGUCUUAGGAUCGUAAAACUCUGUUACUAGGGAAGAACAAAUGUGUAAGUAACUAUGCACGUCUUGACGGUACCUAAUCAGAAAGCCACGGCUAAAUACGUG